RNAcentral lists this long non-coding RNA (767 nucleotides) under Chinchilla lanigera (long-tailed chinchilla). Its description in RNAcentral is "lncRNA (ENSCLAG00000027762.1)". The record is from RNAcentral. Lineage: Eukaryota; Metazoa; Chordata; Mammalia; Rodentia; Chinchillidae.
CCCUCCCAGUCUAAAGCCCCGCCCACGCCACACUCUCCUUCCUUGCACAGCCCUUGGGGCCUUGUCCACCCUCAGGCUCUCCUGCCCCCUCCCACCCUUUAGUCCAUCACCUUUGCCUGAGCCCAGGGGGCAGGGGCUGCAAUCUGGGCCAUGGAGGACCCAAGGAACCCCAGCUGGACUCCUGUCUGGAGCUGGGUGUGUGUCAGGGCUAGGCCCCCACCUGACAGUGGCAUCUCUCCUGCAGAGGCCCAAGAGCAGGCGACAGAGCCGGGUCCAGUGCUGUCCACAUCUGCCUCCAGUGUUUCACUGCUGUCGCCAGGUUCACCUCCAGGCUCCAGGAAGCUGCAGGCUGUGCCUAAGGCCAGGCUGGGAUACAUGGUAGGAAUCCCAAUGGCUAUCAUCUUCUGCAUCCUGGUGGUGGGCUUCCUCAGCCAGCGCUGCACCCAUCAUUCAACAAAAUUUGGAGAUUUGUGCAGGUAGGAGGCCCAGCACCUGGUACAGGCAGCACUGGGGUCAGUGCCGAGGUCGCCUUAGAGCCCUGGCCCAAUACUGAUCUGAGGUCCUGCACCCACAAGGCCUGGGGGGAUGAUGGGGCAGUGUGGAGCCUGGGCCGAACUUCUCCCCAGGAUCUCAGCAGCUAUGACAAACAGGUCCAACCUGGGCCAAGCCCACACGGCCGCCUGUCCUGAAACCCCUACCUGGUCCCCAGGACAGCCAGCAGGGCAGCUUGGGAGUAUGGACUUUAGUCUACUCCCAGGACUUCUGAG